GGAGAGGGAAGGGGCAGCGGGAGGGAGGCUUGGGGUUACAAAGGGACAUCCCAGGUAGGCAGAGGUCACAUCAGAAAUACUCCAGCUGGGGAUGCAUGCAUGAUAGACUGCAUACAAGCAGGCAGGUUUAUAAAGAGUGCUCCAGCCCAGGACAUGCUUGUAAAAUGCACCGUUGCCUGGAUGCUAGCAAAAUGAGGACAUGUGGAUCUCUGAAUGGGGAAGCAGAGGAUCUUUAUGAGAACAAACCACAGGAUAGGUUGUUAUUUGCAUCGUCUCUGAGAAAUGAGUAGGAGUGAUAGGUUUCGAGUCAUCCUGCCAGUAUUUAAUUGCGGUAGAUCAGGUUUCUUAAGUGCUUCAAAGCAACUGGAUGGGACAAAAUCAUCAGGAUUUGAAAGGAAGAACGGGACUGCAGGCACUCAGUAGUCAAUGUGAUUUCUUGCAUUCGUUUUGCUGGUUCUCUGAGUAGUGGUCAGGCCCUUGUGGGGAGCUGGAGGUCAACACCAGGCUGCAGCAUGCUGCCACAUGCAGUCUCUCGCCAGGUGACCUGGAGAACAUGCUGCUUGCUUUUCUGCCUCAUCAGACGAAAUGGAUAAUUCCCCUGCCCCGAGUUCCCUUCUUUGGAUUUACUUCUGAGGCUUGUUCAUCCAUGCUAAGACUAGGCUUACCAAGAGCACAGAUCAACGAGACCAAUAUGGUACUCAUCCCUUCCUUUGAUGGGCCCAUACAAAUUAAUGUGCUUGCACAAGACGGGGCCCUGGGACAGCAUAUCAUGCUCCUUUUCUGGAUGUGGAGUUAAAGCACUAUUCAUAACUCAUCCCUAACUGCUUCAAAGGAGCAGAUAUGAUCAUAGUGGAAUCAAGAAAUGAAUGUUAAAACAGAGGCAAAAGAGUGAAAUAUAUUACACUGAUGACAUUAUGGCAACAUAAUGAAGAAACUGAAAGGUGCAAAAUGAGAUCUUGUAUUUUCCUAAGUUUAGUAAACCUAUUCUUUCAUACUUUAUGGUUGUAAGGAACAUCAAUAAGAUUGAUUUUUAAAAGGCUGUACAAUGUUAAAAUUAUACCAUGUUGCUUGCAGCUUCAGUAUUAUUUCCACUUACAAUGGGCCAUUACCUAUACACUGUUCUUUGCAGGGAAAAUAAUAAAUUAAUUGCUG
Molecule: long non-coding RNA, 1152 nt
Filed under: Struthio camelus australis
Lineage: Eukaryota; Metazoa; Chordata; Aves; Struthioniformes; Struthionidae
Description: lncRNA (ENSSCUG00000011513.1)
Source: RNAcentral